UACGGGGGGAGCAAGCGUUGUUCGGAUUUACUGGGCGUAAAGGGCGCGUAGGCGGUCAGUGCAAGUCAGUUGUGAAAUCUCCGGGCUUAACCUGGGAACUGCAUUUGAGACUGCAUUGCUAGAGUAUGGGAGAGGGAAGUGGAAUUUCAGGUGUAGCGGUGAAAUGCGUAGAUAUCUGAAGGAACAUCAGUGGCGAAAGCGACUUCCUGGACCAAUACUGACGCUCAUGUGCGAAAGCGUGGGGAGCAAACAGG
This 254-nucleotide ribosomal RNA is filed under the name uncultured bacterium. Its description in RNAcentral is "partial 16S ribosomal RNA". It matches the Rfam family "Bacterial small subunit ribosomal RNA", at positions 524 to 776 of the family's 1533-position model. The record is from RNAcentral.